GAGAGAGAGGAGAGGAGAGGAGGAGGAGGAGGAGGGAGAAGGGAACAACCUACCAUCUUAACACACUAAUAUCUAAAAAGUGCGAGAGGCCCAGAGCAGCAGCAGAAGCAGCAGCAGCAGCUCCAGCUUCUUCCCUCCCUCCCCAUGAAGAAGAGUUCCCUCCUCCUCCUCCUCCUGCUUCUCCUGCUCAGAGUUCCUGCCUCCAGCUGCCAGGGGGGACAGCCAGCCAGCAGCAGGAGGGGGGUUAGAGAGCUGAAGAAGAGCCAGUUUUCCCAAAAUUGCUGCAGUGAGAAGAGGAGUUUGUUACUUUAAACAGAGGCUGAAGAAACUAUAGAAUCAGCAGAGAAAGUGGAGAAGGUAGAGGAUGGAGUUGCAGACUCUACAGGAAGCUCUUAAAGUGGAAAUUCAGGUUCACCAGAAACUGGUUGCUCAAAUGAAGCAGGAUCCACAGAAUGCUGACUUAAAGAAACAGCUUCAUGAACUCCAAGCCAAAAUCACAGCUUUGAGUGAGAAACAGAAAAGAGUAGUUGAACAGCUACGGAAGAACCUGAUAGUAAAGCAAGAACAACCGGACAAGUUCCAAAUACAGCCAUUGCCACAAUCUGAAAACAAACUACAAACAGCACAGCAGCAACCACUACAGCAACUACAACAGCAGCAGCAGUACCAUCACCACCACCCCCAGCAGUCAGCUGCAGCCUCUCCCAACCUGACUGCUUCACAGAAGACUGUAACUACAGCUUCUAUGAUUACCACAAAGACACUACCUCUCGUCUUGAAAGCAGCAACUGCGACCAUGCCUGCCUCUGUGGUGGGCCAGAGACCUACCAUUGCUAUGGUGACCGCCAUCAACAGUCAGAAAGCUGUGCUCAGCACUGAUGUGCAGAACACACCAGUCAACCUCCAGACGUCUAGUAAGGUCACUGGGCCUGGGGCAGAGGCUGUCCAAAUUGUGGCAAAAAACACAGUCACUCUGCAGGUUCAGGCAACACCUCCUCAGCCCAUCAAAGUACCACAGUUUAUCCCCCCUCCUAGACUCACUCCACGUCCAAACUUUCUUCCACAGGUUCGACCCAAGCCUGUGGCCCAGAAUAACAUUCCUAUUGCCCCAGCACCACCUCCCAUGCUCGCAGCUCCUCAGCUUAUCCAGAGGCCUGUCAUGCUGACCAAGUUCACCCCCACAACCCUUCCCACAUCCCAGAAUUCCAUCCACCCCGUCCGUGUCGUCAAUGGGCAGACUGCAACCAUAGCCAAAACGUUUCCCAUGGCCCAGCUCACCAGCAUUGUGAUAGCUACUCCAGGGACCAGACUCGCUGGACCUCAAACUGUACAGCUUAGCAAGCCAAGUCUUGAAAAACAGACAGUUAAAUCUCACACAGAAACAGAUGAGAAGCAAACAGAAAGCCGCACCAUCACCCCACCUGCUGCACCCAAACCAAAACGGGAGGAGAACCCUCAGAAACUUGCCUUCAUGGUGUCUCUAGGGUUGGUAACACAUGACCAUCUAGAAGAAAUCCAAAGCAAGAGACAAGAGCGAAAAAGAAGAACAACAGCAAAUCCGGUCUACAGCGGAGCAGUCUUUGAGCCAGAGCGUAAGAAGAGUGCAGUCACAUACCUAAACAGCACAAUGCACCCUGGGACCCGGAAGAGAGGUCGUCCUCCAAAAUACAAUGCAGUGCUGGGGUUUGGAGCCCUUACCCCAACAUCCCCCCAAUCCAGUCAUCCUGACUCCCCUGAACAUGAAAAGACAGAGACCACAUUCACUUUCCCUGCACCUGUUCAGCCUGUGUCCCUGCCCAGCCCCACCUCCACAGACGGUGAUAUUCAUGAGGAUUUUUGCAGCGUUUGCAGAAAAAGUGGCCAGUUACUGAUGUGUGACACGUGUUCCCGUGUAUAUCAUCUGGACUGCUUAGACCCCCCUCUGAAAACAAUUCCCAAGGGCAUGUGGAUCUGUCCCAGAUGUCAGGACCAGAUGCUGAAGAAGGAAGAAGCAAUUCCAUGGCCUGGAACUUUAGCAAUUGUUCAUUCCUAUAUUGCCUACAAAGCAGCAAAAGAAGAAGAGAAACAGAAGUUACUGAAAUGGAGUUCAGAUUUAAAACAAGAACGAGAACAACUAGAGCAAAAGGUGAAACAGCUCAGCAAUUCCAUAAGUUCACCUGAGCGAGCGGGCCCAUCCACACGGCCCUCCCUUGCUCUUGCUUCCACACCAUGCUGAUUGCAUUUCCCGGUUUUCCUGACCAGUGUGAGGAAGUGGGCUUUCUAGAGACAAGUAUUGGAAAAAUGCAUGGAAAUGAAGAACACCAUCCUGGCCCGGCAGAAGGAGAUGCACAGCUCCUUGGAGAAGGUAAAACAGCUGAUUCGCCUCAUCCACGGCAUCGACCUCUCCAAACCUGUAGACUCUGAGGCCACUGUGGGGGCCAUCUCCAACGGCCCGGACUGCACCCCCCCUGCCAACGCCGCCACCUCCACGCCGGCCCCUUCCCCCUCCUCCCAGAGCUGCACAGCGAACUGUAACCAAGGGGAAGAGACUAAAUAACAGAGCCCCUCUAGGAGAAGCCACGGGAUCCCGGCGGCAAGGAGAGCAGAACACUGAAGACUCUAGAAAAGCAAAGCCGGAUUUCCGGAAAGUGCAGAAUUCUUUUGGUUCUUUGGUUCCAGAGAGAGAGAAGAUGCUUGUGCCAGGUGGCACCAGAGUUUGCCAAUUGAUCCUUCUUAUUCUGUGUGUACAUGCAAAGAUUGGACCAUGUUACAUGAAAUAGUGCCAGCUGGAGGUUCUUUGCCAGCACCAUGCCAAGUGAAAUAAUAUAUUUACUCUCUCUAUUAUACACCAGUGUGUGCCUGCAGCAGCCUCCACAGCCACGAUGGGUUUGUUUCUGUUUUCUUGGGUGGGGAGCAGGGACGGGCGGAGGGAGGAGAGCAGGUUUCAGAUCCUUACUUGCCGAGCCGUUUGUUUAGGUAGAGAAGACAAGUCCAAAGAGUGUGUGGGCUUUCCUGUUUCUAAACUUUCGCUACUAUAAAACCAAAAAAAGGAAUUGAGAUUCAACCAACCCCAGUGCCCAGAAGAGGGAAUGGGAGUGGCUGGAGGGAGCCGGGGGUGGGACGGUGUAUCACAUAAGCAGUAUUUAAUCACGUCUGGCGGGGGCCUCGCAGGGGAGACGGACACCGAGGACGGCCAGUAGGUUCUUCUCCCCCGCGCUCUGCCCCCUCCCCGUGGGAACUCCCCAUCCUGAAGCCUGCCCAGCCUCCUUCCUUCCCUGCUUGGUGAAUCGCGCAUCCCCGUGUUAUCCCACUGUCUCCUCUCCAAGAACAAGCAGAGCCCAGGCCGCUGGCCCUUGCCUGGGGCAGGGAAGAAGGAUGUGUAUGUCCAGGAAGGAAAAAAAGGUGGAUCAGUGAUUUUACUUGAAAACAAGCUCCAUCCCUUUUCUAUAUUUAUAAGAAGAGAAGAUCUUGAGUGAAGCAGCACGCGACCCAGGUGUGUGUGAAUUGAAUGGAGACAUUUCUUUUCUCUCUUUUUUUUUUUUUUAUUUUUGUUUUUGUUCUUUUUUUCUUUAAGGAAAGUUUUAUUUUAUUGUUCAUUUUACUUUCUUGGUAACAAAAACUAAAAUAAGGAAUAGAAAAGCUGUUUUUCAGGCUGACAGUCCAAUUAAGGGUAGCCGAGACCUUGCAUGGUAGAGUAGGAAUCAUAGUGUCAGUGAGGUCCCGUGAGUCUUUGUGAGUCCUUGUGUCAUCGUUCGGGCACUGGUUUUUUAUGCAAGGGCAAAAAUCUUUGUAUCUGGGGAAAAAAAAAAAAAACAACUUUUUUUUAAAUUAAAAAGGAAAAUAAAAGAUAUUGAGGUCUUCCUAGUGUUACUUAAAUUAAGAUCAAGGUAAGAAACAUUGUAAAAAAAAAUUACAAAAGUGCUAUUUGUUUCCUAAAAACAGUGAUUUCUAUUAAAAAGGUGUCAGAACUGGAGAAAAUGCCGUGUAGUUACCAUUUUUUAGCACAGACCCUGCUGAUGACGAUGACAUUUUGCCGUGUGUGUCUCUAGACUGUGGGCCAGUCUCCUUGACAGACCGGGUGGAGCUCCCCGCCCUUCCCUCUCCUCAGAAAAGACCGUGCUCUCUUCUUGGUGCAGGGAUCUUGUCUCCUGUUGUGAAGCCCAAAUGGAAGUCUGGCCGGUGUCAGGGCCCUCCCCAUGGUCUUCUUAGAUUCCGCUAGAGCAAAAGGCUGGUGCCUAAAUAAGAUCCCUUCCUUUGGUGCUGCUUUUGGUCUUUCAGCCACCAGCAUUACGAGUGCCUGGGGGACACCUCCAAGGGAACUGGCCAGUGGAGCUCAGUGGUGCCCAUGCACCCUGGCUGUGGCAGGAGGGUGCGGGAGUGCAGGCUGGCUGCAUCAGCCUUUGGUGCUUAGAAAGAACAGAGGAGUGACAUGUCUCGAGGGUAUGUCUCUGAGACAGAGCCCCAGGGUGGCCUUCGCUCUGACUUGCUUUUGGGGAGAGGUCUGAAGCUGUCGCUCCUUUCUCUGCCUGUUGGCCGCAGGCACCAGAAAUGGAAUUCAUUCCACUCGUCCCACCCACAAGUCUCCUGGGUGACCCUUGGCUAGAAUUGCUGCGCUUGCCUUGGCUUGGCCUGUUGUGGCCCCUCCUUCUUGAGAAAACCAGGGUUCUGAAAGGCUCAGACCAUUCUCUCAUCUUGCCUUGUGGGAAGUAAACGGUGUCAGAUGCGUGCUCUGGCUGGAGACCUUUUCCUCUUGAGUGCCCCUGGCUGCCGGAGGGCAGUGGAGGCUCGGUACCCGGGCCUGCUGGAGCAUCUCCCCGAAGCCCACUCCAGACCCUGGUAACAGCCAGAGUCGGGGAGGGAUAGAAACGGUCCCAUUAGCUUCUCUCCCACCCAGUUAGGCCCAGAGAGACAAAAGACAGAUCUGAAAGCAAAUUCAACAGAGAAGAGAUGCUUCUUAGAGGAAAAUGUGUCUCAUCCAUAUCAGCUGUCGCCAUUCAUCUUCCCAAGGACCUCAGAAGAGGGAGUUAAGUUUGGCUGAACAGGCCUCAGUUAGGCCCUGGCUGCUUGAUUGGCUGACGGGGAAAGAGUUCCCUUUUCUCAGAAACCAAGGUGCUGUGCCUGGUCAGGGAGCCUUGGAGAUGCCUGGACUAGCUGGAGGAAUCGGUGGCAGAGGAUCAGAGACCAGCAGCAGGCUGCCUGCCCCGUCUAGAGCUCUUCCCCUCAACUUGUCUGGGCCCAUCUCGGGGUUGCCGCAACAGUUAACUCUCCUUUUCCUGAAAGAAGUUGGGAAGCCAUCAUCACUAGAGGCCUUUGCUCAGAGAGGAGCUGCCUGAGGAGUCUCAGGGGUAGGGGGGAUGAGGCUAGGAAUUGACUGGAGCUUUGCCUGCCGCCCUGAGCAGCGUGAGUACGUUCUGACCUCGCCUGCAGCCGGUGUGGAUUCUUCCUGACAUUCAGAUGUGAGCUGUUUUGGGAGUCAGCUAGUAUGGAGUGCAAGAUGGAAUCCUGCCCACAAACCUAUAUUCUGGACUCGAAUUCCAAAACACUGCUUUACUGUGAAAGAAGAGGCCCCCCGGCACUCAACCUCCCCGUCCUUCACUGUCCCCCCAGACUGCCAGAGACACAUGCUCCUGACACUGCCCCGCCCAGCCACCUCCACUUGCUUCCUCCUCCUUCCUUUCGCUGCUGUUUCCCCAUGGCCCAGAAUUUAGCUGCUCUGACAGCUACUUAUCUGAGACCAGCUGGCUUUGCAGUCACUUCGGAGAGCUGGAGUGGCUGCCCACUGGGCCCUGCCUGGGAGUCCCCUGCCAGCUCCUGAUCAGGCGCUGCGCCCUGGUGGCGGUGAGGUCAUGUUGCUGUCAUCUCCACCUCUGCAUUCUUGCUGCCUGCGGGUCCUUUUUCUUUCAUGGAGCCUGCUGGGUCUUGUCUCACCUGUGCUGAGCUCAUUGGGGUUUUGAUUUCUUCCUUCCUUAUUAGGCCCUUUGUGGUAAGCCUGCUGGUUGUACCUGACAGGGGUAGACAGCUACGGGCAGUCCCUGGUGGGGCCACCCUGGCAGCCUCCAGCUGGCACCAUCGUGUGCCUGGUUUCCCUGCAAGGCCUGUCUCUCUGUCCCUGCUGCUGCUUGGCUCAGGCCCAGCAGGCAGUGUGCGUGGGCCAGGUGCACGCAGCUGUGUCUGUGCAGGUGGCCGUGUCUGUAGCACACUUCUGUCUCCGCAUGCACGCUGCCUCUCCUGCCACCUCUGAUACUUCUCUCUUGGGGCUAACGGAGCCCUUGGGCUCUCCCCUCCCAGCUCACACACACUCUUCAGAGGUUUCUUCCCUUCAUUCCCUUGUAGGGCGUGGUCCUUUUUACUUAUCUAAAGGGCUGAAUUUAGGAGACUACCCAGAGGCAAAAGGCUCUUAGGGUAAUGGGAUGGAGCGCGGCCCGGGGCAUUUUCCAGGGCCUGUGUCUCCAGAUCCCGAGGCUUCUGUUGAGUAGAGGCAACUUUGCUCUGUGUGGACCUCGCCCCUGCCCUCAGCCAGGCACCCCUGGCAGGAAGCAGGACUCCCAUCCUCACCCUUAGACUGUCCUCCGAGUCAGCUCCUCUGGGCAGUCUUCUGGCCCCCUCGCUAAAGUGAGAGGCAGGAAGCUGGGGCUGCCCUCCAGAAAGCCGGGGUAGGAACUCUGAAAAGUAGCUCCUGUAAACAGAAGCAGGGCUCCCCAGUUCCACUUGGCACCCCCUCCCACAAGACCCUUCCUCCCUGAGGACCCAGCCUCCCCCGCCCCUGCCCGUCCCCAGCAGCCUUUGGGCCCUCACCUCUCCCCGGUCUCCGUGGGUCCUCAGUCCAGGUGAGCCGCAGCCAGGCGGUGGGGACGGGCAGGCCAGAGGUCAGCCAGCUCCUAGCAGAGAAGAGCCAGCCAGACCCCAACCCUGUCUCUUGUCCAUGCCCUUUGUGAUUUCAGUCUUGGUAGACUUGUAUUUGGAGUUUUGUGCUUCAAAGUUUUUGUUUCUGUUUGGUUUUUGUUUUGAGGGGGUGGGGGGGAUACAGAGCAGCUGAUCAAUUUGUAUUUAUUUAUUUUAACAUUUUACUAAAUAAAGCCAAAUAAAGCCUCU
Saimiri boliviensis boliviensis (Bolivian squirrel monkey) is the source of this 7071-nucleotide non-coding RNA. The record is from RefSeq and is a predicted model, not a curated record. NCBI's taxonomy places the organism in Eukaryota, Metazoa, Chordata, Mammalia, Primates, Cebidae.